GGCGCGAUGGCCGAGUGGUUAAGGCGACAGAUUAGAAUAUCCUGGCUGGAAUGAGAAUAAUCUGUUCCACUUGUUGGGCGCAGGUUCAAAUCCUGCUCGCGUCG
Mycena galopus ATCC 62051 is the source of this 104-nucleotide non-coding RNA. NCBI's taxonomy places the organism in Eukaryota, Fungi, Basidiomycota, Agaricomycetes, Agaricales, Mycenaceae. The record is from the annotation of a GenBank genome assembly.